This 94-nucleotide small RNA is filed under the name Flavobacterium weaverense. RNAcentral describes it as "Flavo-1 RNA". It matches the Rfam family "Flavo-1 RNA". The record is from RNAcentral. Lineage: Bacteria; Pseudomonadati; Bacteroidota; Flavobacteriia; Flavobacteriales; Flavobacteriaceae.
UUUUAGCCCUGAUCGAAACGGCAUCCUUUUAAUGGCUUAUUGCGAGGAACGAGCAAAAAGCAAAUAAAAGAUAUAGUGCAGAGCGGGAGUAGCU